GGCAGGAGCAACAGCUAGUGUCCCAGGACUUUUCUUCAGAUAAGGAGGAGGCAAAGGAGGAUUUCUCCACUUCAUUCAACAAGAAAAGCCAUACAAAACCUUUGUGAGGACAUCUCUACGUAAGUUGAGGUCAUCUUCAAUAAGAGUCUUGCAAGCAGGUUUUCACAAACAAUAUUCAAUGGCGGAUCAUAAAUCACUGGACAAUGUAGAGAAUAUAAGAUUCCACUGA
RNAcentral lists this long non-coding RNA (229 nucleotides) under Monodelphis domestica (gray short-tailed opossum). RNAcentral's name for it is "lncRNA (ENSMODG00000047938.1)". The record is from RNAcentral. Lineage: Eukaryota; Metazoa; Chordata; Mammalia; Didelphimorphia; Didelphidae.